AUGAAGCUGGAAUUGCUAGUAAUGGCAGGUCAGCAUACUGCCGUGAAUACGUUCCCGGGCCUUGUACACACCGCCCGUCACACCAUGAGAGUUGGGAAUACCCGAAGCCUGUGAGCUAACUUUCUAAGAGGCAGCAGUCGAAGGUAGAAUCAAUGAUUGGGGUGAAGUCGUAACAAGGUACC
RNAcentral lists this ribosomal RNA (182 nucleotides) under uncultured bacterium. RNAcentral's name for it is "partial 16S ribosomal RNA". It matches the Rfam family "Bacterial small subunit ribosomal RNA", at positions 1320 to 1500 of the family's 1533-position model. The record is from RNAcentral.